GUACUACCUUCGGGUGUACAUACGGAAAAACUGGAACGGUGCAGAGAAUAUUAGCACGGCCCCUGCGCGAGGAUGACACGCACAAUCGUGAAGCGUUCCUCUAUUGA
Molecule: small nuclear RNA, 107 nt
Organism: Styela clava
Lineage: Eukaryota; Metazoa; Chordata; Ascidiacea; Stolidobranchia; Styelidae
Source: RefSeq, a predicted model, not a curated record